CCUACGGGGGGCAGCAGUGAGGAAUAUUGGUCAAUGGGCGAGAGCCUGAACCAGCCAAGUCGCGUGAAGGAUGAAGGAUCUAUGGUUUGUAAACUUCUUUUAUAUGGGAAUAAAGUGAGGAACGUGUUCCUUUUUGUAUGUACCAUAUGAAUAAGCAUCGGCUAACUCCGUGCCAGCAGCCGCGGUAAUACGGAGGAGGCGAGCGUUAUCCGGAUUUAUUGGGUUUAAAGGGUGCGUAGGUGGUUAAUUAAGUCAGCGGUGAAAGUUUGUGGCUCAACCCUAAAAUUGCCGUUGAAACUGGUUGACUUGAGUAUAGGUGAGGUAGGCGGAAUGCGUGGUGUAGCGGUGAAAUGCAUAGAUAUCACGCAGAACUCCGAUUGCGAAGGCAGCUUACUAAACUACAACUGACAUUGAAGCACGAAAGCGUGGGGAGCAAACAGGAUUAGAUACCCUGGUAGUC
This 460-nucleotide ribosomal RNA is filed under the name uncultured bacterium. RNAcentral's name for it is "partial 16S ribosomal RNA". It matches the Rfam family "Bacterial small subunit ribosomal RNA", at positions 338 to 795 of the family's 1533-position model. The record is from RNAcentral.